UACGUAGGGGGCAAGCGUUGUCCGGAAUCAUUGGGCGUAAAGCGCGCGUAGGCGGCCCGAUAAGUCCGCCGUGAAAGUCCAGGGCUCAACCCUGGAAUGCCGGUGGAAACUGUCGGGCUGGAGUCCGGAAGAGGCGAGUGGAAUUCCUGGUGUAGCGGUGAAAUGCGUAGAUAUCCGAAGGAACAUCAGUGGCGAAAGCGGCUUCCUGGACCAGAACUGACGAUCAGGCUCGAAAGCGUGGGGAGCAAACAGG
Molecule: ribosomal RNA, 253 nt
Filed under: uncultured bacterium
Lineage: Bacteria
Description: partial 16S ribosomal RNA
Rfam family: Bacterial small subunit ribosomal RNA
Source: RNAcentral